This 450-nucleotide ribosomal RNA is filed under the name uncultured bacterium. RNAcentral describes it as "partial 16S ribosomal RNA". It matches the Rfam family "Bacterial small subunit ribosomal RNA", at positions 354 to 796 of the family's 1533-position model. The record is from RNAcentral.
GUGGGGAAUUUUGGACAAUGGGCGAAAGCCUGAUCCAGCCAUGCCGCGUGCAGGAUGAAGGCCUUCGGGUUGUAAACUGCUUUUGUACGGAACGAAAAGACUCCUUCUAAUAAAGGGGGUCCAUGACGGUACCGUAAGAAUAAGCACCGGCUAACUACGUGCCAGCAGCCGCGGUAAUACGUAGGGUGCAAGCGUUAAUCGGAAUUACUGGGCGUAAAGCGUGCGCAGGCGGUUAUAUAAGACAGAUGUGAAAUCCCCGGGCUCAACCUGGGAACUGCAUUUGUGACUGUAUAGCUAGAGUACGGUAGAGGGGGAUGGAAUUCCGCGCGUAGCAGUGAAAUGCGUAGAUAUGCGGAGGAACACCGAUGGCGAAGGCAAUCCCCUGGACCUGUACUGACGCUCAUGCACGAAAGCGUGGGGAGCAAACAGGAUUAGAAACCCGUGUAGUCC